Molecule: ribosomal RNA, 99 nt
Filed under: Streptococcus equinus
Lineage: Bacteria; Bacillati; Bacillota; Bacilli; Lactobacillales; Streptococcaceae
Description: partial 16S rRNA. Bacterial SSU
Rfam family: Bacterial small subunit ribosomal RNA
Source: RNAcentral
AUUAAAUGAGAGUUUGAUCCUGGCUCAGGACGAACGCUGGCGGCGUGCCUAAUACAUGCAAGUAGAACGCUGAAGACUUUAGCUUGCUAAAGUUGGAAG